This is a small RNA of Peptoniphilus sp. BV3C26, 133 nucleotides long. It matches the Rfam family "Streptococcus sRNA SpR18". Lineage: Bacteria; Bacillati; Bacillota; Tissierellia; Tissierellales; Peptoniphilaceae. The record is from Rfam.
AUCAAUGGUUAUAGAAGAUUAAAAACUGUAACCGGGAUUAAAAUGGGAACAUUUGUUAAAAAGAAUAAAUUGAAUAAUAGUUCCAAGUGGUUUUCAUUUGGACAAAAAAAAUAAGACCGUAGUCUUAGGCUGC